This 82-nucleotide transfer RNA is filed under the name Maritimibacter sp. RNAcentral describes it as "tRNA-Ser". It matches the Rfam family "tRNA". From Rfam's summary of the family: Transfer RNA (tRNA) molecules are approximately 80 nucleotides in length. Their secondary structure includes four short double-helical elements and three loops (D, anti-codon, and T loops). RNAcentral also lists the same sequence under 1 other name. The record is from RNAcentral. Lineage: Bacteria; Pseudomonadati; Pseudomonadota; Alphaproteobacteria; Rhodobacterales; Roseobacteraceae.
GACACUGUGUCCGAGUGGUUAAGGAGAUGGACUAGAAAUCCAUUGGGCUCUGCCCGCAGGGGUUCGAAUCCCCUUGGUGUCG